CGUGCAGCCACCUGCGGCACCUGCGCACUGGGAGCGACACGCUCGGGCAUAAAGUAGUGCCGGAAAGUUAGUUGCCGAGACCUGGUGGAUUGCUUUUCGUUUAUCAGUGCAGGAAAACGGUGUUAUAGUACUGCGUCACAACUAGCGCAGACUCUUGCAGUAUUUAGGCGGUGCGGCUUGGGAACUGGAAUCCACUUCCUGUCUUCCGCCUCAGGCUAGAGGGCGAGCGCUUCGCCGUGGGACUUUCUCCGCCUGGCUCCGCCUCUUGCCCCGGAAGUACUGACAGCCGACGGUGGUUUCUGGGCCCGUUUCUGAACAGCGCUUCCUUUUUGUCCGACAUCUUGGCGAGACUGCGGUGUCUGCUGCUACUCUCCGAGCUUCGCAAUGCCGCCCAAGGACGACAAGAAGAAGAAGGACGCUGGAAAGUCGGCCAAGAAAGACAAAGACCCAGUGAACAAAUCCGGGGGCAAGGCCAAAAAGAAGGUAGAAAUAAGACCUCUCUGAGAGAGACUAGGGGUCAUCUUCUCGUAACCCUCUAGUAAUAGGUAACUUGUAUAGUAAGUGGUUUUUCAGGUGUAGAUUUCUAGAGUCAAAAUGUUAGAGUUUAUCUUCCCGUUACCACUCGUUCUUUUUCCCAUUAGGAUCAUGAAAAUGAGUCCGUUGUGCAAAGUGUCUGUCCUUGUGCCUGCUGUUUUAUUUUUAACUGAUCUAGUGGGGCUCGGCCCCUGUUCUGAAGGCCAAAAACGUGUCGGUAUUUGUUUUUUUUUUUUUUAGUAAUGUGUAAUUUAUCUUUGAUAACGGUGGAGCAGAUUUCUCUGACGCAGAUUACUCGAGAGGAAAAGGGUGCUUCUGCCGGAAAUACUAACUUGUUUCUGUUUUGUUUUGGUGAGCAGAAGUGGUCCAAAGGCAAAGUUCGGGACAAGCUCAAUAACUUAGUCUUGUUUGACAAAGCUACCUAUGACAAACUCUGUAAGGAAGUUCCCAACUAUAAACUUAUAACCCCAGCUGUGGUCUCUGAGAGACUGAAGAUUCGAGGCUCCCUGGCCAGGGCAGCCCUUCAGGAGCUCCUUAGUAAAGG
Molecule: small RNA, 1078 nt
Filed under: Pongo abelii (Sumatran orangutan)
Lineage: Eukaryota; Metazoa; Chordata; Mammalia; Primates; Hominidae
Description: retained intron
Source: RNAcentral